UCUCCGUAGGUGAACCUGCGGAGGGAUCAUUACUGAGUGAGGGUUUAACCGCCCGACCUCCAACCCUUUGUGAAUCGUACUCGUUGCUUCGGGGGCGACCCUGCCGUCCGCGGCUGAGCGCCCCCGGAGCCCAUCAAACCCUGCGUAACUAAGUCGUCGGAGUUUAAACAAAUUAAACAAAACUUUCAACAACGGAUCUCUUGGUUCGGGCAUCGAUGAAGAACGCAGC
This 229-nucleotide unclassified non-coding RNA is filed under the name uncultured fungus. RNAcentral describes it as "sequence contains ITS1, 5.8S rRNA gene". The stretch from base 181 to 229 matches the Rfam family "5.8S ribosomal RNA", at positions 1 to 49 of the family's 154-position model. The record is from RNAcentral. Lineage: Eukaryota; Fungi.